AAGGUCAGCUGAUUAUCAAAUUAUUAACUGGUUAUUUCUUAUGUGGCUCUAGCAUCACAGUAUAAUAUUAAACAUCAUAGCU
This is a long non-coding RNA of Sinocyclocheilus anshuiensis, 82 nucleotides long. RefSeq lists it as uncharacterized. NCBI's taxonomy places the organism in Eukaryota, Metazoa, Chordata, Actinopteri, Cypriniformes, Cyprinidae. The transcript has 4 exons. The record is from RefSeq and is a predicted model, not a curated record.